Molecule: long non-coding RNA, 779 nt
Filed under: Equus caballus (horse)
Lineage: Eukaryota; Metazoa; Chordata; Mammalia; Perissodactyla; Equidae
Description: lncRNA (ENSECAG00000053258.1)
Source: RNAcentral
GAUUCAGAAAUUUAGUGAGUAUUCUUAUUUUCAUGGCAAUAUAAUUAUUUGGAUAAGUUCAACAGAAUCUGUUCUCCUUGUAGCAGGACACAAGUGCAAACUGGUUCUAUUACCAAGGCUUUGACUUGAAUGUCAUAUUUGAGAGAGAAUGUGCAUGGACUCAGGUAUGACCAGAUAGCUUUAAGGAAUCAAGGUGGACUGUAUGGAGCAAAUAAAGCACCUUGGAAGUAUUGGCUUGGUAUCUUGCUUAUAGUGUUCCCCGCAGCCUUACCAGGUGAGUAAGGAAGGUCACUUCAUGGCAGGUGCAGGAACCUCAGGAUAUCUUGGAACAUCGAGAAGAGAAGAACUCACCCAAAUCUAUAGAGAACAAACAGCUACACCUGUGACUCAGCCCUAAACUCCUCUUACGGGAGACGCUCCGGACACAGAAAAGGGCUGUGGUGCCGCCGCUUCAGCCUCACGGCCAUCACGGUGGCUAGAUUGGAGGAUUAAUGUCAGUUAUGCACGGAGAGGGCGAAAAUGAGCCUCAGCAGGGAGACCUGGGGAACACAGAGCCACGCCUACUGUCCAGCCUGCAGGUGAACUGGACCUCCUGGAUCAACCUCAGCAAAGGGACAGGACGUGAAGCCCCCAGCUUACCUCUGAACCUCUCCGUCUCCUCUGAGCCCAAACUACUGCUCCACAGAGUGAGCUCAAAGGGCUCACUUCCAACUUUCCUCGGUUGGAGGCAAAUGCAAUAAAAAUGUGCAGUCUGUGCCCCUCUCCACACCCACUUACAC